RNAcentral lists this ribosomal RNA (482 nucleotides) under uncultured Legionellales bacterium. Its description in RNAcentral is "bacterial SSU rRNA". It matches the Rfam family "Bacterial small subunit ribosomal RNA", at positions 30 to 505 of the family's 1533-position model. Lineage: Bacteria; Pseudomonadati; Pseudomonadota; Gammaproteobacteria; Legionellales. The record is from RNAcentral.
AUUGAACGCUGGCGGUAUGCUUAACACAUGCAAGUCGAACGGUAACAUUAGGGUGCUUGCACUCUAGAUGACGAGUGGCGGACGGGUGAGUAAUGCAUAGGAAUCUACCCAAAAGUCUGGGAUAGCUUGUGGAAACGCAAGGUAAUACCGGAUGUGAUUUACGAAUUAAAGGCGGCGCAAGCUGUCGCUUUUGGAUGAGCCUAUGUCGGAUUAGCUUGUUGGUGGGGUAAAGGCCUACCAAGGCAACGAUCCGUAGCUGUUCUGAGAGGAAGAUCAGCCACAUUGGGACUGAGACACGGCCCAGACUCCUACGGGAGGCAGCAGUGGGGAAUAUUGGACAAUGGGGGCAACCCUGAUCCAGCAAUACCGCGUGUGUGAAGAAGGCCUGCGGGUUGUAAAGCACUUUCAGUAGUGAGGAAGGUGUUUGCUUUAAUAGAGUAGACAUUUGACGUUAGCUACAGAAGAAGCACCGGCUAACUCUG